CGGGAAAAGCUCAAAUUUAAAAUCUGGCGGUCUCUGGCCGUCCGAGUUGUAAGUUAGAGAAGUGUUACCCGCGCUGGACCGUGUACAAGUCUCCUGGAACGGAGCGUCAUAGAGGGUGAGAAUCCCGUC
This 129-nucleotide ribosomal RNA is filed under the name Xeromphalina sp. RNAcentral describes it as "partial large subunit ribosomal RNA". It matches the Rfam family "Eukaryotic large subunit ribosomal RNA", at positions 99 to 225 of the family's 3401-position model. The record is from RNAcentral. Lineage: Eukaryota; Fungi; Basidiomycota; Agaricomycetes; Agaricales; Mycenaceae.